GAACAUUUUACUUGAUCACACGUCAGUUUGAAACCGGAGCAGUCGAACGCCACAACAGUAAACUGGAUUCAACUUUAUUUCUAAAUUGCAUCGUUACCAAUGGCAACCAACAAGAGCCUCGUUUUCGCAAUCGCCGUAGUCCUAGUUCUCAGUCUCUUCACACGGACCGCGACCUCAUUUUUCCGAGAAGGACGAACGCUAGAUCUCCGAAAAACCAGACAGUCAUCCAACGCGGAUAUCUUCAAUCCAAUUAGACAACACAGCGACUAUGACAACCUUUCAUCAGAAGAACUUAAAAACGCCUUCAAAGAUUUUCUACAGAAGAAAUCUAGAAAUUUUAAAACAAAACAGCAAGAUUGAGGAUGGAGUUAAAAUUGAUUCAAGACACUAUGGAUAUAUAGGAUGAAAUAAUAAUAACGCUAGCUUUGGACGAUGGAAUGACGGAAAGAUUUCAUUUAGUGAACACACACACACACACAAAAAACAAAAUCUUGUUCAAGAACAUGAAUGAUUCGAAACGUGCUUCAGUUUUGUCGCGUUGGUGGCGUGUGUGUGUGUGUUAAUAAGUACGUGUUAGUGAAAGAAAA
Molecule: long non-coding RNA, 587 nt
Filed under: Actinia tenebrosa (Australian red waratah sea anemone)
Lineage: Eukaryota; Metazoa; Cnidaria; Anthozoa; Actiniaria; Actiniidae
Description: uncharacterized LOC116296016, transcript variant X1
Source: RNAcentral